This 253-nucleotide ribosomal RNA is filed under the name uncultured bacterium. Its description in RNAcentral is "partial 16S ribosomal RNA". It matches the Rfam family "Bacterial small subunit ribosomal RNA", at positions 524 to 776 of the family's 1533-position model. The record is from RNAcentral.
UACGGAGGAUGCAAGCGUUAUCCGGAAUGAUUGGGCGUAAAGCGUCCGCAGGUGGCCCUGUAAGUCUGCUGUUAAAGAGUGAGGCUUAACCUCAUAAAAGCAGUGGAAACUACAGAGCUAGAGUGCGUUCGGGGCAGAAGGAAUUCCUGGUGUAGCGGUGAAAUGCGUAGAGAUCAGGAAGAACACCGGUGGCGAAGGCGUUCUGCUAGGCCGCAACUGACACUGAGGGACGAAAGCUAGGGGAGCGAAUGGG